RNAcentral lists this ribosomal RNA (484 nucleotides) under Actinomyces sp. 'ARUP UnID 37'. RNAcentral's name for it is "bacterial SSU rRNA". It matches the Rfam family "Bacterial small subunit ribosomal RNA", at positions 27 to 504 of the family's 1533-position model. Lineage: Bacteria; Bacillati; Actinomycetota; Actinomycetes; Actinomycetales; Actinomycetaceae. The record is from RNAcentral.
GGACGAACGCUGGCGGCGUGCUUAACACAUGCAAGUCGAACGGGAUCCAAGGGCUUUUUGUUUUUGGUGAGAGUGGCGAACGGGUGAGUAACACGUGAGUAACCUGCCCCCUUCUUUUGGAUAACCGCAUGAAAGUGUGGCUAAUACAAGAUAUUCCGCUUUGGUCGCAUGGCUUUGGUGGGAAAUGGUUUGGUCUGGUGGGGGAUGGGCUCGCGGCCUAUCAGCUUGUUGGUGGGGUGAUGGCCUACCAAGGCGGUGACGGGUAGCCGGCCUGAGAGGGUGGGCGGUCACACUGGGACUGAGAUACGGCCCAGACUCCUACGGGAGGCAGCAGUGGGGGAUUUUGCACAAUGGGCGCAAGCCUGAUGCAGCGACGCCGCGUGAGGGAUGGAGGCCUUCGGGUUGUGAACCUCUUUCGCUGGGUUGAAAGGCCAUGCUUUGGGUGUGGUUGAUUUGAACUGGUAAAGAAGUACCGGCUAACUAC